RNAcentral lists this ribosomal RNA (401 nucleotides) under uncultured soil bacterium. RNAcentral's name for it is "bacterial SSU rRNA". It matches the Rfam family "Bacterial small subunit ribosomal RNA", at positions 107 to 519 of the family's 1533-position model. The record is from RNAcentral.
ACAGUAAUGCGUGGGAAUCUGCCUUCAGGCUCGGGAUAGCCGCGGGAAACUGCGGGUAAUACCGAAUAACGUCUCCGGACCAAAGGUGAGACUCCGCCUGAAGAUGAGCCCACGUCCUAUUAGCUAGUUGGCGGGGUAACGGCCCACCAAGGCAUCGAUGGGUAGCAGGUGUGAGAGCACGACCUGCGUCAUUGGGACUGAGAACUGCCCAGACGCCUACGGGCGGCUGCAGUCGAGGAUUUUUGGCAAUGGGCGCAAGCCUGACCAAGCGACGCCGAGUGCGGGAUGAAGGUUCUCGGAUUGUAAACCGCUUUUGACGGGGAUGAAAUGCCCGGGGGUACUCCCCUGGGUUUGACAUAACUGUAGAAUAAGCACAGGCUAAGCUCGUGCCAGCAGCCGCG